GGCAGGCUUCACACAUGCAAGUCGAGCGCCCCGUAAGGGGAGCGGCCGACGGGCGAGUAACGCGUGGGAAUCUACCCAUCUCUACGGAACAACUCCGGGAAACUGGAGCUAAUACCGUAUACGUCCUUUUGGAGAAAGAUUUAUCGGAGAUGGAUGAGCCCGCGUUGGAUUAGCUAGUUGGUGGGGUAAUGGCCUACCAAGGCGACGAUCCAUAGCUGGUCUGAGAGGAUGAUCAGCCACACUGGGACUGAACCACGGCCCAGACUCCUACGGGAGGCAGCAGUGGGGAAUAUUGGACAAUGGGCGCAAGCCUGAUCCAGCCAUGCCGCGUGAGUGAUGAAGGCCCUAGGGUUGUAAAGCUCUUUCAACGGUGAAGAUAAUGACGGUAACCGUAAAAGAAGCCCCGGCUAACUUCGUGCCAGCAGCCGCGGUAAUACGAAGGGGGCUAGCGUUGUUCGGAAUUACUGGGCGUAAAGCGCACGUAGGCGGAUUGUUAAUUUAGGGGUGAAAUCCCAGGGCUCAACCCUGGAACUGCCUUUAAUACUGGCAAUCUCAAGUCCGAGAGAGGUGAGUGGAAUUCCGAGUGUACAGGUGAAAUUCUUAGAUAUUCGGAGGAACACCAGUGUCCAAGGCGGCUCACUGGAUCGGUACUGACGCUGAGGUGACAAAACGUGUUGACCAAAGAGAACUAUAUACCUUGGUAGU
RNAcentral lists this ribosomal RNA (705 nucleotides) under Mesorhizobium sp. RNAcentral describes it as "bacterial SSU rRNA". It matches the Rfam family "Bacterial small subunit ribosomal RNA", at positions 41 to 794 of the family's 1533-position model. The record is from RNAcentral. Lineage: Bacteria; Pseudomonadati; Pseudomonadota; Alphaproteobacteria; Hyphomicrobiales; Phyllobacteriaceae.